GUAGGGUCCAAGCGUUGUCCGGAUUUAUUGGGUUUAAAGGGUGCGUAGGCGGCCCUGUAAGUCAGUGGUGAAAUACUCCAGCUUAACUGGAGGGGUGCCAUUGAUACUGCAGGGCUUGAGUUAAGUUGAAGUUGGCGGAAUUGCCGGUGUAGCGGUGAAAUGCUUAGAUAUCGUCAAGACCACCGAUAGUGAAGACAGCUAACUAAACUUUUACUGACGCUGAGCCACGAAAGUGUGGGGAUCAACCAGGAUUAGAUACCCUGGUAGUCCCCACUGUAAACGUUGAUUACUCGCUGUGUGCGAUAUCCAGUACGCGGCCAAGCGAAAGCGAUAAGUAAUCCACCUGGGGAGUCCGCCGGCACCGGUG
Molecule: ribosomal RNA, 367 nt
Filed under: uncultured bacterium
Lineage: Bacteria
Description: bacterial SSU rRNA
Rfam family: Bacterial small subunit ribosomal RNA
Source: RNAcentral